RNAcentral lists this ribosomal RNA (429 nucleotides) under Chloroflexota bacterium. RNAcentral's name for it is "Chloroflexi bacterium partial 16S ribosomal RNA". It matches the Rfam family "Bacterial small subunit ribosomal RNA", at positions 355 to 776 of the family's 1533-position model. Lineage: Bacteria; Bacillati; Chloroflexota. The record is from RNAcentral.
UGGGGAAUAUUGCACAAUGGGCGCAAGCCUGAUGCAGCCACGCCGCGUGUGUGAAGAAGGCCUUCGGGUUGUAAAGCUCUUUUAGCGGGGAGGAAGGCGUUAAGGUUAAUAACCUUGGCGAUUGACGUUACCCGCAGAAGAAGCACCGGCUAACUCCGUGCCAGCAGCCGCGGUAAUACGGAGGGUGCAAGCGUUAAUCGGAAUUACUGGGCGUAAAGCGCACGCAGGCGGUCUGUCAAGUCGGAUGUGAAAUCCCCGGGCUCAACCUGGGAAGUGCAUUGGAAACUGGCAGGCUAGAGGGUUGUAGAGGGGGGUAGAAUUCCAGGUGUAGCGAUGAAAUGCGUAGAGAUCUGGAGGAAUACCGGUGGCGAAGGCGGCCCCCUGGACAAAGACUGACGCUGAGGAGCGAAAGCGUGGGGAGCAAACAGG